Molecule: ribosomal RNA, 1245 nt
Filed under: Candidatus Phytoplasma fragariae
Lineage: Bacteria; Bacillati; Mycoplasmatota; Mollicutes; Acholeplasmatales; Acholeplasmataceae
Description: bacterial SSU rRNA
Rfam family: Bacterial small subunit ribosomal RNA
Source: RNAcentral
ACGACUGCUAAGACUGGAUAGGAGAAAAGAAGGCAUCUUCUUAUUUUUAAAAGACCUAGCAAUAGGUAUGCUUAGAGAGGAGCUUGCGUCACAUUAGUUAGUUGGUGGGGUAAAAGCCUACCAAGACGAUGAUGUGUAGCCGGGCUGAGAGGUCAAACGGCCACAUUGGGACUGAGACACGGCCCAAACUCCUACGGGAGGCAGCAGUAAGGAAUUUUCGGCAAUGGAGGAAACUCUGACCGAGCAACGCCGCGUGAACGAUGAAGUAUUUCGGUACGUAAAGUUCUUUUAUUAGGGAAGAAAAGAUGGUGGAAAAACCAUUAUGACGGUACCUAAUGAAUAAGCCCCGGCUAACUAUGUGCCAGCAGCCGCGGUAAUACAUAGGGGGCAAGCGUUAUCCGGAAUUAUUGGGCGUAAAGGGUGCGUAGGCGGUUAAAUAAGUUUAUGGUCUAAGUGCAAUGCUUAACGUUGUGAUGCUAUAAAAACUGUUUAGCUAGAGUUGGAUAGAGGCAAGUGGAAUUCCAUGUGUAGUGGUAAAAUGCGUAAAUAUAUGGAGGAACACCAGGAGCGAAGGCGGCUUGCUGGGUCUUAACUGACGCUGAGGCACGAAAGCGUGGGGAGCAAACAGGAUUAGAUACCCUGGUAGUCCACGCCCUAAACGAUGAGUACUAAACGUUGGGUAAAACCAGUGUUGAAGUUAACACAUUAAGUACUCCGCCUGAGUAGUACGUACGCAAGUAUGAAACUUAAAGGAAUUGACGGGACUCCGCACAAGCGGUGGAUCAUGUUGUUUAAUUCGAAGGUACCCGAAAAACCUCACCAGGUCUUGACAUGCUUUUGCAAAGUUGUAGAAAUACAGUGGGAGGUUAUCAAUUGCACAGGUGGUGCAUGGUUUGUCGUCAGCUCGGGUCGUGAGAUGUUGGGUUAAGUCCCGCAACGAGCGCAACCCUUGUUGUUAAUCGCCAGCAUGUAAUGAUGGGGACUUUAGCAAGACUGCCAGUGAUAAAUUGGAGGAAGGUGGGGACGACGUCAAAUCAUCAUGCCCCUUAUGACCUGGGCUACAAACGUGAUACAAUGGCUGUUACAAAGGGUAGCUAUAGCGUAAGCUUUUGGCGAAUCUCAAAAAAGCAGUCUCAGUUCGGAUUGAAGUCUGCAACUCGACUUCAUGAAGUUGGAAUCGCUAGUAAUCGCGAAUCAGCAUGUCGCGGUGAAUACGUUCUCGGGGUUUGUACACACCGUCCGUCA